This 253-nucleotide ribosomal RNA is filed under the name uncultured bacterium. Its description in RNAcentral is "partial 16S ribosomal RNA". It matches the Rfam family "Bacterial small subunit ribosomal RNA", at positions 524 to 776 of the family's 1533-position model. The record is from RNAcentral.
UACGUAGGGUGCAAGCGUUAAUCGGAAUUACUGGGCGUAAAGCGCGCGCAGGCGGUUGGGCAAGACCGAUGUGAAAUCCCCGGGCUCAACCUGGGAAUUGCAUUUGUGACUGCACGGCUAGAGUGUGUCAGAGGGGGGUAGAAUUCCACGUGUAGCAGUGAAAUGCGUAGAGAUGUGGAGGAAUACCGAUGGCGAAGGCAGCCCCCUGGGAUAACACUGACGCUCAUGCACGAAAGCGUGGGGAGCAAACAGG